CCCGCACAAGCGGUGGAGUAUAUGGUUUAAUUCGAUGCAACGCGAAGAACCUUACCUGGUCUUGACAUCCCGGAGACCCUUAGGAAACUAGGGGGUGCUUCCAUCUGGAAGAAUCUGGAGACAGGUGCUGCAUGGCUGUCGUCAGCUCGUGUCGUGAGAUGUUGGGUUAAGUCCCGCAACGAGCGCAACCCUUGCCUUUAGUUGCCAGCAGUUCGGCUGGGCACUCUAAAGGGACUGCCGGUGUUAAACCGGAGGAAGGUGGGGAUGACGUCAAGUCCUCAUGGCCUUUAUGACCAGGGCUACACACGUACUACAAUGGCCGAUACAAAGGGCAGCGACACUGCGAGGUGAAGCCAAUCCCGUAAAAUCGGUCUCAGUCCGGAUUGGAGUCUGCAACUCGACUCCAUGAAGUUGGAAUCGCUAGUAAUCGUGGAUCAGCAUGCCACGGUGAAUACGUUCCCGGGCCUU
Molecule: ribosomal RNA, 468 nt
Filed under: uncultured Desulfobulbus sp.
Lineage: Bacteria; Pseudomonadati; Thermodesulfobacteriota; Desulfobulbia; Desulfobulbales; Desulfobulbaceae
Description: bacterial SSU rRNA
Rfam family: Bacterial small subunit ribosomal RNA
Source: RNAcentral